GCCCUUGACUUCAGGUGUCACUCGACCAAGUCUUCCUUCAUGUUGGGCUGAUCAGAAGAGCAAUGUCCAGAGCCUCCAAGCUCUGACCCAGGACACAAGGUCCUCUGAGAGAGCAGAUGUGACUGCUGGCUUGUGAUUCUGUGUCCUCCUGGAGCACGGGACUUCUGAGAACACCAGGGGGAGAUUUCACAGACAAAAUCCUCCUUUGAGUUUUUCAGUGAAGGAAAUACUGGAAGUAGUAUGUCACUUUUAAAAACUGAUAAAAGGAUCACAUUUCUAUUAAUUAAAUGGGAGAGGGGGAUUUUUCUUGGAUAAUGAAUGUCUGAGCUUCUUAGAGAAGAGGAGUGAGAGAAGUGAGUCCCAGACUCUUAUUCUUUUUCUUUUGUUCUUGGAGUCCGGACAGAGCCAAGAGGAGAAGGAAGGAAAGGUGGAACCUUGAAAGGUAAGGUUCUGUCUAUUUGACCUCAGCUCUCCAAGGUUGAGCUUUCCUGUUCCUUCCAUGAGCUCCCAGAUUCGUGAUCUCUGAGAAUGUCAGGUGCUACAUACAGUCUCUCUGAGAAAACAGAGCCCUCCAAAGAAGGCUCACAGAAGACAACUGGUCCUCAGAUACUUCUCAGAGUCUCCGCUCAGCCCAUCUGUGGGCGUGAAGCAGUGAUGGACCUGGGCAAUUGGUAUUGCCCAAUAGGUGGCCACGGUAGAUGUCAAGUAAGGAUUACAGCUUGGUUUGGAAUCAGAACUUUUGUCUCCUGACUUUGUGCUGUGUUUCCAGCAUCAUUUUUCACCUCGUGAACCCUGCACCUUUGCUCUUCUAGAGUAACAGCAACACCUGAACAGGGAUGUGUUGAAUAUUUGGAGGGAGUUGAGGAAACCAGGGGAGGUGAACGUGGAGAGGAGAGAGUCUCCUGCCAGUGCCAAGAAGAGGAUAGAAAGUAUUCUUAAUUUGGUUUCCAGACAACUGCAUUGUCUCCCUUUAUUUAUUAAUGGAUUGACUCAAGAGAUGUCAUAAACUAUGUUGUUUUUAGUUUGGGCAUCUAUAAGGUUUGCUGUAAGGACUCUGUCUUCAUGCCUCUCACUCAACUCUAUCCCAUUGCAGGGAGUCGGGGAGCAGAAUGUAAAAUCAUUUUGUAUAUUGUUAUGCUACACAAAUAAAAUGUGCCCUCUUUAUAAAAUAUUUACUUAUGUUAUUUAAUAUUCAAAAACUUUUGAGCCCUAUUAUGUAGAGGAUAAGGAAGGGAAAACAGCAAUUUUCUUUAAUGUAGAAAGUUUACAUUCUAGUGAAGAAGAAGGCAAAAGAACAACAUAAUGUUUGUGGGAAGUUAGGUGGGCAUUUGGGAACAGAGUCCUGCAACCAGUAUGUCCUAGAGGGUUUCCUGGAAGAAUAGAGAGAGAAAAAAAUGUGUCUCUUCCACAGAGACAGUGGGAAAAGGGAAAGGCGAUGGGAUGUAAUGAAAGAAAAGAAGUCCCUUGUGGCUGGAAAAUAGAUAGAAGGGAGAGUGACACUUGAAGAAAUUUCAAUAAUUUCAUCAAAUCAAAUAUAAUUGAUUUACUGGAGUAUAAAAUAUUACAGUUGAAAGCAGACUAAUUAGAAGGAAAAAUAAAAAUGAAUUCCAAUGCUCACAUUUUAGAGAUGAAAAAAUGAAAGCACACAGAGCUCAUGGGUUCUUAGUGAAUUCCAUGCAAAUCAUUUUGGAAGAGCUAUUAAUAGCAUGAAUUGUUUUUAGAUGAAUGAUAUA
Molecule: non-coding RNA, 1733 nt
Organism: Microcebus murinus (gray mouse lemur)
Lineage: Eukaryota; Metazoa; Chordata; Mammalia; Primates; Cheirogaleidae
Source: RefSeq, a predicted model, not a curated record